This 183-nucleotide ribosomal RNA is filed under the name Symbiodinium sp. Mp. RNAcentral's name for it is "partial Eukaryotic small subunit ribosomal RNA". It matches the Rfam family "Eukaryotic small subunit ribosomal RNA", at positions 741 to 925 of the family's 1831-position model. Lineage: Eukaryota; Dinophyceae; Suessiales; Symbiodiniaceae. The record is from RNAcentral.
AACCAGGACUUUUACUUUGAAAAAAUUAGAGUGUUCAAAGCAGGCUUAUGCCGUUGAAUAUAUUAGCAUGGAAUAAUAAGAUAGGACCUUGGUACUAUUUUGUUGGUUUGCGCACCGAGGUAAUGAUUAACAGGGACAGUUGGGGGUAUUCGUAUUCCAUUGUCAGAGGUGAAAUUCUUGGAU